RNAcentral lists this ribosomal RNA (1387 nucleotides) under uncultured bacterium. RNAcentral's name for it is "16S ribosomal RNA". It matches the Rfam family "Bacterial small subunit ribosomal RNA". The record is from RNAcentral.
UUCGCCCUUAGAGUUUGAUCCUGGCUCAGGACGAACGCUGGCGGCGCGCCUAACACAUGCAAGUCGAACGGAGCUUAGAGAGCUUGCUUUUUAAGCUUAGUGGCGAACGGGUGAGUAACGCGUGAGUAACCUGCCCUAGAGUGGGGGACAACAGUUGGAAACGACUGCUAAUACCGCAUAAGCCCACGGUGCCGCAUGACACUGAGGGAAAAGGAUUUAUUCGCUUUAGGAUGGACUCGCGUCCAAUUAGCUAGUUGGUGAGGUAACGGCCCACCAAGGCGACGAUUGGUAGCCGGACUGAGAGGUUGAACGGCCACAUUGGGACUGAGACACGGCCCAGACUCCUACGGGAGGCAGCAGUGGGGGAUAUUGCACAAUGGGGGAAACCCUGAUGCAGCGACGCCGCGUGGAGGAAGAAGGUUUUCGGAUUGUAAACUCCUGUCGUUAGGGACGAUAAUGACGGUACCUAACAAGAAAGCACCGGCUAACUACGUGCCAGCAGCCGCGGUAAAACGUAGGGUGCAAGCGUUGUCCGGAAUUACUGGGUGUAAAGGGAGCGCAGGCGGGAAGACAAGUUGGAAGUGAAAACCAUGGGCUCAACCCAUGAAUUGCUUUCAAAACUGUUUUUCUUGAGUAGUGCAGAGGUAGAUGGAAUUCCCGGUGUAGCGGUGGAAUGCGUAGAUAUCGGGAGGAACACCAGUGGCGAAGGCGGUCUACUGGGCACCAACUGACGCUGAGGCUCGAAAGCAUGGGUAGCAAACAGGAUUAGAUACCCUGGUAGUCCAUGCCGUAAACGAUGAUUAAUAGGUGUUGGGGGGAUUGACCCCCCUCAGUGCCGCCGGUUACCACAAUAAGUAAAUCCACCCUGGGGGAGUACGACCGCAAGGAUGAAACUCAAAGGUAUUGACGGGGGCCCGCACAAGCAGUGGAGUAUGUGGUUUAAUUCGAAGCAACGCGAAGAACCUUACCAGGUCUUGACAUCCGAUGCAUAACACAGAGAUGUGUGAAAUCCUUCGGGACAUCGAGACAGGUGGUGCAUGGUUGUUGUCAGCUCGUGUCGUGAGAUGUUGGGUUAAGUCCCGCAACGAGCGCAACCCUUAUUGCCAGUUACUACGUUAAGAGGACUCUGGCGAGACUGCCGUUGACAAAACGGAGGAAGGUGGGGAUGACGUCAAAUCAUCAUGCCCUUUAUGACCUGGGCUACACACGUACUACAAUGGCGUUAAACAAAGAGAAGCAAGACCGCGAGGUGGAGCAAAACUCAAAAACAACGUCUCAGUUCAGAUUGCAGGCUGCAACUCGCCUGCAUGAAGUCGGAAUUGCUAGUAAUCGCGGAUCAGCAUGCCGCGGUGAAUACGUUCCCGGGCCUUGUACACACCGCCCGUCA